ACACCGGCGGCCCGAGUGGUGAUCGUGAUUAUUGGGUCUAAAGGGUCCGUAGCCGGUUUGGUCAGUCCUCCGGGAAAUCUGAUAGCUCAACUAUUAGGCUUUCGGGGGAUACUGCCAGACUUGGAACCGGGAGAGGUAAGAGGUACUACAGGGGUAGGAGUGAAAUCUUGUAAUCCCUGUGGGACCACCUGUGGCGAAGGCGUCUUACCAGAACGGGUUCGACGGUGAGGGACGAAAGCUGGGGGCACGAACCGGAUUAGAUACCCGGGUAGUCCCAGCCGUAAACGAUGCUCGCUAGGUGUCAGGCAUGGCGCGACCGUGUCUGGUGCCGCAGGGAAGCCGUGAAGCGAGCCACCUGGGAAGUACGGCCGCAAGGCUGAAACUCAAAGGAAUUGGCGGGG
RNAcentral lists this ribosomal RNA (401 nucleotides) under uncultured bacterium. RNAcentral describes it as "partial 16S ribosomal RNA". It matches the Rfam family "Archaeal small subunit ribosomal RNA", at positions 473 to 873 of the family's 1478-position model. The record is from RNAcentral.